ACCCGCUGAAUUUAAGCAUAUAAGUAAGCGGAGGAAAAGAAACUCAAGAGGAUUCCCUUAGUAAUGGCGAAUGAACAGGGGUAAGCUCAGAGUGGAAAUCGGGGCCUUUCUGGCUUCGAAUUGUGAUCUCGAGAUGUACAACCAGCAUGGGGUGCAGGUAUAAGCCUUUUGGAAAAGAGCACCAGCGAGGGUGAGAGUCCCAUUCGUUACCUGUAGCCCCCAGUGCAUGGUGUGCAUUCUAAGAGUCACGCUCCUCGGGAUUGGAGCGCAAAGUGGGUGGUAAAUUUCAUCUAAAGCUAAAUACGGGCCUGAGACCGAUAGCACACAAGUACCCUGAGGGAAAGGUGAAAAGGACUUUGGAAAGAGAGUUAAACAGAGCCUGCCAUUGCUGAAAGGGAAGCGAACGAAAUCAGUGUGACUGGGCGAGAUCGGGCCGUGCCAAGGUGAGCUUCUGCGAACUGGACGUGCGGCUCAUUUCUUGCCCUGUCGGUCAACGGUGCUGCAAGCGCGAGGAAAAGAGUAUAGGACUGUCAGCUUGCCUACGGGUGGGUGAAUGCCUGUGCUACUACUUGCGCGUGUAGUGUCGCUUGGCUAUAUGGUUUCUUUCGACCCGUCUUGAAGCACGGACCAAGGAGUCUAACAUAUGUGCGAGUUUGCAGGUGUUUAAACCUGUUGGCGCAAUGAAAGUGACUGCUAGAAAUUGUGCACUGGCAACCGACCAAUCGCUUGAGAAAGGUUUGAGUAUGAGCAUGUCUGUUAGGACCCGAAAGAUGGUGAACUAUGCCCGUGAAAGGGCAAACUCAGGGGAAACUCUGAUGGAGGCCCGUAGCGAUACUGACGUGCAAAUCGUUCGUCAUACAUGGGUAUGGGGGCGAAAGACUAAUCGAACCAUCUAGUAGCUGGUUCCCUCCGAAGUUUCCCUCAG
RNAcentral lists this ribosomal RNA (925 nucleotides) under Protoperidinium parthenopes. RNAcentral's name for it is "LSU rRNA". It matches the Rfam family "Eukaryotic large subunit ribosomal RNA", at positions 23 to 976 of the family's 3401-position model. The record is from RNAcentral. Lineage: Eukaryota; Dinophyceae; Peridiniales; Protoperidiniaceae.